This 225-nucleotide ribosomal RNA is filed under the name Triticum aestivum (bread wheat). RNAcentral's name for it is "partial small subunit ribosomal RNA". Lineage: Eukaryota; Viridiplantae; Streptophyta; Magnoliopsida; Poales; Poaceae. The record is from RNAcentral.
AUUGGGAAGAGAAAAGCGGCCGCUAGGCCACCCCCUAGGAAGUGGAUGGACAAACUCGAUACGGUCUUUUCCUGCCCAUUCUGCAAUCAUGGGAGCAGCGCUGAAUGCCGGAUUGAUACGAAGAACCUGAUUAGUGAGGCUAAUUGUCAAAUCUGCCAGGAAAGCUUCAGCACCACUGCAAAGAAGUUCAACCUACCACAUUAUUUUCUUGUUAAUGUAUUUUAA